AUACGUAGGGGGCAAGCGUUGUCCGGAAUCAUUGGGCGUAAAGCGCGUGUAGGCGGCUCGAUAAGUCUGCUGUGAAAGUCCAGGGCUCAACCCUGGGAUGCCGGUGGAUACUGUCGAGCUCGAGUCCGGAAGAGGCGAGUGGAAUUCCUGGUGUAGCGGUGAAAUGCGCAGAUAUCAGGAGGAACACCAAUGGCGAAGGCAGCUCGCUGGGACGUGACUGACGCUGAGACGCGAAAGCGUGGGGAGCAAACAGGAUUAGAUACCCUGGUAGUCCACGCCGUAAACGAUGGGCACUAGGUGUAGGGGGUGUCGACUCCCCCUGUGCCGAAGCUAACGCAUUAAGUGCCCCGCCUGGGGGGCACGGCCGCAAGGCUAAA
This 377-nucleotide ribosomal RNA is filed under the name uncultured bacterium. RNAcentral describes it as "bacterial SSU rRNA". It matches the Rfam family "Bacterial small subunit ribosomal RNA", at positions 523 to 898 of the family's 1533-position model. The record is from RNAcentral.